RNAcentral lists this ribosomal RNA (418 nucleotides) under uncultured bacterium. RNAcentral describes it as "bacterial SSU rRNA". It matches the Rfam family "Bacterial small subunit ribosomal RNA", at positions 355 to 773 of the family's 1533-position model. The record is from RNAcentral.
UGGGGAAUCUUGCGCAAUGGCCGAAAGGCUGACGCAGCGACGCCGCGUGUGGGAGGACGCUCUUCGGGGUGUAAACCACUGUUGCCCGGGACGAACAUGCUCUUUCGAGGGCACUGACGGUACCGGGUGAGGAAGCGCCGGCUAACUCUGUGCCAGCAGCCGCGGUAAUACAGAGGGCGCGAGCGUUGUCCGGAAUCACUGGGCGUAAAGGGCGCGUAGGUGGCGGCGCAAGCGGGCGGUGAAAGCCCGGGGCUCAACCCCGGGUCGGCCGUGCGAACUGCGUCGCUCGAGCGUGGUAGAGGCGGGUGGAAUUCCGGGUGUAGCGGUGGAAUGCGUAGAGAUCCGGAAGAACACCGGUGGCGAAGGCGGCCCGCUGGGCCACGGCUGACACUGAGGCGCGAAAGCGUGGGGAGCAAAC